UGGAGUUACAGACCCUUGAUAUGGGUAGUGUA
RNAcentral lists this non-coding RNA (32 nucleotides) under Mus musculus (house mouse). The record is from RNAcentral. Lineage: Eukaryota; Metazoa; Chordata; Mammalia; Rodentia; Muridae.